Molecule: ribosomal RNA, 666 nt
Filed under: Lactiplantibacillus plantarum
Lineage: Bacteria; Bacillati; Bacillota; Bacilli; Lactobacillales; Lactobacillaceae
Description: bacterial SSU rRNA
Rfam family: Bacterial small subunit ribosomal RNA
Source: RNAcentral
CGCUGGCGGCGUGCCUAAUACAUGCAAGUCGAACGAACUCUGGUAUUGAUUGGUGCUUGCAUCAUGAUUUACAUUUGAGUGAGUGGCGAACUGGUGAGUAACACGUGGGAAACCUGCCCAGAAGCGGGGGAUAACACCUGGAAACAGAUGCUAAUACCGCAUAACAACUUGGACCGCAUGGUCCGAGUUUGAAAGAUGGCUUCGGCUAUCACUUUUGGAUGGUCCCGCGGCGUAUUAGCUAGAUGGUGGGGUAACGGCUCACCAUGGCAAUGAUACGUAGCCGACCUGAGAGGGUAAUCGGCCACAUUGGGACUGAGACACGGCCCAAACUCCUACGGGAGGCAGCAGUAGGGAAUCUUCCACAAUGGACGAAAGUCUGAUGGAGCAACGCCGCGUGAGUGAAGAAGGGUUUCGGCUCGUAAAACUCUGUUGUUAAAGAAGAACAUAUCUGAGAGUAACUGUUCAGGUAUUGACGGUAUUUAACCAGAAAGCCACGGCUAACUACGUGCCAGCAGCCGCGGUAAUACGUAGGUGGCAAGCGUUGUCCGGAUUUAUUGGGCGUAAAGCGAGCGCAGGCGGUUUUUUAAGUCUGAUGUGAAAGCCUUCGGCUCAACCGAAGAAGUGCAUCGGAAACUGGGAAACUUGAGUGCAGAAGAGGACAGUGGA